Procambarus clarkii (red swamp crayfish) is the source of this 932-nucleotide non-coding RNA. The record is from RefSeq and is a predicted model, not a curated record. Lineage: Eukaryota; Metazoa; Arthropoda; Malacostraca; Decapoda; Cambaridae.
ACCAAUUGUCUGUCUGUUGUCUCAGCGGGUUGACUUAGGAGGUGGUGGAGGCACUCACAGUGUCUCAUACACGCACUCGCAAGCCUCAUAGCUGCUACGAUUCCGACGACCACCAACGACCUCCGGCGCCUUCGACGAUUACCGGCGCCUUCGACCACCGGAGUCUUCGACCACCGGAGCCUUCAACGACCCCCUGCGCCUUCGACGACCCCCAGCGCCUUCGACGACCCCCAGCGCCUUCGACGACUACCGGCGCCACCAACGACCAUCAUCGCCGCCAUGAGGGGCUCUUGUACCACUCUUCUGCUGUGUUUCGCCCUCGCCGCCUCCUUUGCGGGAUCCGACGGUUUCCCUAAGAAGUUUCUUGAGCCGUUUUUACUGCCCAUCCCACUACCCGGGAUCAACGCGCCUCCCGCUGGCACACCAGUCACCACGAAUAAACGAUUUUGUCUUCCUAAUAUCAUAUGUCCCAUUAAUCCUCCUCUCCCCGUUAACGGCUAGUCGCCGUUAACAAAGUCGAUGUUAAGCUAAUUCUUUAUAGAGAAUGUCUCACUAACGCGACUGGAAACCAAGCCAACUCACACCUAUGGGAUGAAAGUGACGAGGUUUGGUCCGUCCUCAUGAUGGACCCCCUUAUCAUGGGGUCACUUUCACUCAACUUCAUGUGUGAGUUGGGUUGCUAAUCAUCACUGCUUCACUGUUUCUCAGAUCACCGUUAUCUCACUUGUUAAAUCAUUGCAAAUUUCACUGUUAUUAAUCAUUAGAGAGACACAUGAUUGACUCACCAGCGGUUAAUGAGGUGUCUUACCGUAUCCUCAUUCUUGAAAAACGGCUGCCUCAUCUUAACCAUGUUGGGUAAUGAGUGAGUCAGUAGCUGAGGUAAGGCACCGAUGGAGUUGUACCGAGUUGUCACAAUAAACAUCAUGUAUUUU